UCGAGAAUUUUUGACAAUGGGGGAAACCCUGAUCGAGCGACGCCGCGUGGAGGAUGAAGGUCUUCGGGUUGUAAACUCCUGUCAUUUGGGAACAAGCGGCUUACGUUAACUGCGUGAGCCUUGAUAGUACCAGAAGAGGAAGGGACGGCUAACUCUGUGCCAGCAGCCGCGGUAAUACAGAGGUCUCAAGCGUUGUUCGGAUUCAUUGGGCGUAAAGGGUGUGUAGGUGGCGCCGUAAGUGGGGUGUGAAAUUUCGGAGCUUAACUCCGAAACUGCAUUCCAUACUGCGGUGCUUGAGGACUGGAGAGGAGACUGGAAUUUACGGUGUAGCAGUGAAAUGCGUAGAUAUCGUAAGGAAGACCAGUGGCGAAGGCGGGUCUCUGGACAGUUCCUGACACUGAGACACGAAGGCCAGGGGAGCAAACGGGAUUAGAUACCCGCGUAGUCC
This 448-nucleotide ribosomal RNA is filed under the name uncultured bacterium. Its description in RNAcentral is "bacterial SSU rRNA". It matches the Rfam family "Bacterial small subunit ribosomal RNA", at positions 355 to 796 of the family's 1533-position model. The record is from RNAcentral.